This 556-nucleotide ribosomal RNA is filed under the name uncultured archaeon. RNAcentral describes it as "bacterial SSU rRNA". It matches the Rfam family "Archaeal small subunit ribosomal RNA", at positions 322 to 882 of the family's 1478-position model. The record is from RNAcentral.
AUUACGGGGUGCAGCAGGCGCGAAAACUUUACAAUGCGGGAAACCGUGAUAAGGUAACUCCGAGUGCCCGUAAAAUCGGGCUGUCCAUCUGUUUAAAUAACAGGUGAAGAAAGGGCCGGGCAAGACCGGUGCCAGCCGCCGCGGUAAUACCGGCGGCUCGAGUGGUGGCCACUAUUACUGGGCUUAAAGCGUUCGUAGCUGGUCUGUUAAGUCUCUGGGGAAAUCUACUGGCUUAACCAAUAGGCGUCUCAGGGAUACUGGCAGACUAGGGACCGGGAGAGGUGAGAGGUACUCCAGGGGUAGGAGUGAAAUCCUGUAAUCCUUGGGGGACCACCUGUGGCGAAGGCGUCUCACCAGGACGGCUCCGACAGUGAGGGACGAAAGCUGGGGGAGCAAACCGGAUUAGAUACCCGGGUAGUCCCAGCCGUAAAUGAUGUGCGUUAGGUGUAUCGGUGACCACGAGUCACCGAGGUGCCGAAGGGAAACCGUGAAACGUGCCGCCUGGGAAGUACGGUCGCAAGGCUGAAACUUAAAGGAAUUGGCGGGGGAGCACAAU